UUGUGAUCUUGGUCCAAACCUCUUUUUCCUCUCACUGAAGGAUUCUCCCAGCAACCUCCAAGCAACCAGUCAAGAGACGCUGCCCUGAAUUUUUGGUCCUCAGCUAUAGAACAAAGAAGUCUUUGAGGUUUAACAAGAGGCUGCUCAGCUCUCUGGCCCCUGGGCUACUAAGAUCUAGAUUGGGAGCCUGGACUGCCACAUGUGUAAGGGACGGAGCCUCGGAUCAGGGCUGCCAGCUGGUGCCCUCCAAAGGCAGUAUCUCACCUCCUGCCCACCCUCCUCCCAACCCUCAGGAGGGUGCUUGCAGUGAGAUGAGAUGCCGCAGGGAAUAAAAACCACCAGCACCCCCUCAGCGUCCCUCCACUGUGUCAGGAUCACAGACAGUGAGCCCCAGCCCCCAGCCCAGCCCUCUCUCCCCUGGAGGGAAACCAGCUUAAAUUUGACUGUCUCAGAGGUAGGAGAUGUUGGGCAGCAGUCAAGAAAAAGUUCACCUCUCCAAGCUUUACCAUAGGCAACUGGCCACCACCCCUCCUCACUCCAGCGGUUUGAAUGGUUUGCUCCUAACUGUGCCCUCUGCAUUUGCCUUCAUCCAUCUCCAUUCUUCUUUACGGUCAACAUGCCAGGACCCUACAUCUUCUCCCACAUCAGUUGUUCACAGGGGCUCCUUCCCAUGGAGUUCUGUCUAAUGGCUUCCCAAACCUGAGUCUCAUGGACAUGUCCACUCUUCUUGUCCAAUAUCUCAGGAGCCUUGAAUACUGCUGACCACUAUGGUUGUAGGGUGGUGGUAGGGUGGUGGUAGGAUGGUGUAGGGUGGUGGUAAGGUGGUUGUAGGGUGGUGUACAGUGGUGGUCAGGUGGUGGUAAGAUGGUAUAGGGUGGUGUAGAGUGGUAGGGUGGUGGAAGGAUAGUGUGAUAGGGUGGUGGAAGGGUGGUUGUAGGGUGAUGUAGGGUGGUGGUAGGGUGGUGGAAGGGUAGUUUUAGGGUGGCAGGGUGGUGGUACAGUGGUGGUAGAGUGGUGGUAAGGUGGUGUAGGGUGACGGUAGGGUGGUGUAGGGUGGUGGAAAGAUAGUGGUAGGGGGGUGUAGGGUGGUGGUAGGGUGAAAAUAAAGCUACAUGUAUAUAUUGAGGUCUGGCACACAGUGUUUAAAACAUGUUAGCUCUCUCUUCCCUGCGUACUCUCAAGAGUGUAUGUAUGGUGUUGAGUGUACCCUGGGCCCUGGCUCUGGGUCAUUCAGCAAUGACUGAGGAGGGCUGGAAACAAGGAGGUGCCUGUGGAGAACAAAUCCACUUCUGGUUACUGGUUUGAGACCUGGUAACAGUGGCCAUCCCCGACCUUCUUGGGCUGCCAUCUUUGAAGACCACCAUCCCUAAGGUGAACAGAGAUGGUUCAGAGAUUUUUCCUUUAUCUUUCCAUAGAGGAAGUACAACCAGAAGUUGGGAUGAGUCGGCCUUGAGAUGGAAGAGAUUUGAGAUACCCCACUUUUCCCAGUGACUGCUUUGAUAAGCAGACAGUCUUCCUUUCUCUUUCCUUUGAAGAUUUUGGUCCAAUUUGCAAAGGAGCUAGUAUCCCAGUUGUUUUAAGAAUGUAUAGUCCUGGAGGCAGACACCAACUGAGAAAAUG
This 1620-nucleotide long non-coding RNA is filed under the name Homo sapiens (human). RNAcentral's name for it is "HSALNT0244041". Lineage: Eukaryota; Metazoa; Chordata; Mammalia; Primates; Hominidae. The record is from RNAcentral.